RNAcentral lists this ribosomal RNA (485 nucleotides) under uncultured bacterium. Its description in RNAcentral is "bacterial SSU rRNA". It matches the Rfam family "Bacterial small subunit ribosomal RNA", at positions 30 to 507 of the family's 1533-position model. The record is from RNAcentral.
AUUGAACGCUGGCGGCAGGCCUAACACAUGCAAGUCGAACGCGAAAGCUCCUUCGGGAGUAAGUAGAGUGGCGAACGGGUGAGUAACGCGUAGGAAUCUACCCAAGAGUGGGGGACAACCCGGAGAAAUCCGGGCUAAUACCGCAUACGCCCUACGGGGUAAAGUGGGGGACCUUUCGGGGCCUCAUGCUUUUGGAUGAGCCUGCGUCGGAUUAGCUUGUUGGUGAGGUAACGGCUCACCAAGGCGACGAUCCGUAGCUGGUCUGAGAGGAUGACCAGCCACACUGGGACUGAGACACGGCCCAGACUCCUACGGGAGGCAGCAGUGGGGAAUAUUGGACAAUGGGGGAAACCCUGAUCCAGCCAUGCCGCGUGUGUGAAGAAGGCCUUCGGGUUGUAAAGCACUUUCAGUAGGGAAGAAAAGCCUAAGGUUAAUACCCUUGGGUCUUGACGGUACCUACACAAGAAGCACCGGCUAAUUCCGUG